Molecule: ribosomal RNA, 229 nt
Filed under: uncultured bacterium
Lineage: Bacteria
Description: partial 16S ribosomal RNA
Rfam family: Bacterial small subunit ribosomal RNA
Source: RNAcentral
UGCGCAGGCGGGAAAUUAAGUCAGUGGUGAAAUCCUGCAGCUCAACUGUAGAAUUGCCAUUGAUACUGAUUUUCUUGAGUGCAGUUGAGGUGGGCGGAAUGUGUAAUGUAGCGGUGAAAUGCUUAGAUAUUACACAGAACACCGAUUGCGUAGGCAGCUCACUAAACUGUUACUGACGCUCAGGCACGAAAGCGUGGGGAGCGCACAGGAUUAGAUACCCUGGUAGUCC